RNAcentral lists this long non-coding RNA (248 nucleotides) under Elaeis guineensis (African oil palm). Its description in RNAcentral is "long non-coding RNA (EGUI_LNC030311)". The record is from RNAcentral. Lineage: Eukaryota; Viridiplantae; Streptophyta; Magnoliopsida; Arecales; Arecaceae.
AUACCCACCGACCGACCGACCGACUAUCGGAGGGCCCGACCGGCUGGCGGCCCGACCGACCGACCGACUAUCGGAGGGCCCGACCGGCUGGCGGCCCGACCGACCGACCGACGGCCCGACGAACGACUCUGACUGGCCGAUCGUGAGUCGGGCGACAGGCCAACGGACGUUGGCAGCGGCUAACUGCGGCCAUUCCACGGUCCAUUCCCGACCGACUAAAUCCAGAGGUCCGGUAGCCGACCCACACG